Molecule: long non-coding RNA, 1428 nt
Organism: Mercenaria mercenaria
Lineage: Eukaryota; Metazoa; Mollusca; Bivalvia; Venerida; Veneridae
Exons: 3
Source: RefSeq, a predicted model, not a curated record
UUACGUUACUUAAAAUGUAUAUGAAUUCAGUUUGACGAAAAUGAACAAAAUGUUGUUAAAAUAUUUUUGUAAGUUUUUAAUUUUGGCUUAAUUAAUGAUGAACAGUGUAGAAAUAGCCCUAGGACAAACUUCACUCCUUUGCAAUCCAUCAGCGGUAGUGGUUGUCCAUCAAACACUGGUAAAUAUAUAUAUAUAUAACAGUAAUUCGCAACGUGUCUUUAUUAUCAAAAAGAAACAUUUGUAUGAUGUAUUUUGUUUUCUGUCCCUCUUGUGCAAUGCAAAAGGUUUUUUUGAUCAACAUCAUUAUUACGUGCAAUAAGUAAUUUUUAAAUAUAUGAAGCUACUUUUUAAAGAAGAGGUGACUUUAUUAAGAACGUAAAUGUGUAAAUAAUAAAACCUCUUUAACAUUAAAGUAAUGUUACGAAGUACAUUUAUUUCUAUAUUUAUACAUAGGUUUUUAAAAGGAAAUGCCCCAAGACGUACAUCGCGAUAUCGAAACUGAUGUAGAAAAGCCUACAAGUACAUAUACAGAGUACUGAACAAUAAUCAGUAAAGACUAUGACCGGCAGGCGCUCGUCUGGGACAGAAGGUUUAAAAAGAUGAGCAAGCUCAUCUAACAUAGUCCUGUCGUAUCACCGAGCAUCAUGCUAGCAGAGAAAACCAAAUUCAAGUGAUAACAUAUUCACGUCAAAACACGUGCGAGGGUCCAAGGUAAACCGAAGGAGGAAAAGAUCUCCAGAAGUAGAAAUGCUAUACUCUGAGAAUCUCUAGGUGUUCGAUGGAAAAGCACGUAGAAACGACAGUAAACUUCUUCCAACAGUUCGAAUGGGCAUAUCGGAGAACCAAAUAGCAUCUACUAUAACCUUGUUCAUAACUUGACAAAAUAUACUUAAAUAAACUUCCAACUCCGCUUGCAUAUACAUGCAUAUAUCUCCAGAAUAAAACGUCAGAUUUACUGUAACAGUCUGUUUUUCGAAUAAAUGUUUGGUUUAUCAUGCUGUGUCCAUGUUUCAUUUAUGAUUUAUUGCAUAAUAAAAUACUUCUGGUAUAUCACGAUUUUAGCAAUAUCCAGAAGGAGUAAUGGUCACACCAUAUAUUCAUGUCCCUGAGAUAUAUUUUUUAUUCCCUGUUCGUCCGUCAGUUCCGUCUGUCAAACUUUGCUUCCGCCAUCCAUAUGACCCAGAGUAUUCAAACUUCAUAGGAUGAUUGGAUUGAUUGAGUAUGGUCUCUAUAUGCAUGUGCUUGGCACUACACUUCCACUCAAUAGCUUUGAUCAUUCUGUCAAGUUUCAAUUAAAUGUCUUUAAUAACUUUCGAGUUAUAUUCCAGACAAGCAUUAGUUAGAAUGAUAAAGGGAGAUAAUUAAAAACUAAAAAAAAUGAGUUAUGGUUCUUUGACACUGCACUUCCUCUCAUAUGUGAAGUUUCAA